UGACGCGUUGCGACGCGGUUCCAUCGGGAUCGCUGUAGCCGAUCCGCAGCUUGUGCUCGGCACGGAUCGCGGCGC
This 75-nucleotide transfer RNA is filed under the name Variovorax sp. RNAcentral's name for it is "tRNA-Tyr". The record is from RNAcentral. Lineage: Bacteria; Pseudomonadati; Pseudomonadota; Betaproteobacteria; Burkholderiales; Comamonadaceae.